Molecule: non-coding RNA, 216 nt
Organism: Vicia faba (fava bean)
Lineage: Eukaryota; Viridiplantae; Streptophyta; Magnoliopsida; Fabales; Fabaceae
Source: the annotation of a GenBank genome assembly
AUGAAACACCAUCACCAGCACCCAGUCCCAAUGCGAAUGGGGCAGCAUCAUACCAAGGACAAUGGAGAAAGAAGUUGUCAACCAGUGUACUUGCUAUUGCCAUUUUGUUAUGUGCUACUUGAGUACCUACCAGGCUCAUAUGACAAAACAUGGAUUCGCACAAAGCGGUUAUUUGGUUUGCUAAAAUAUAAAACUAUUGCAUAUGUAUGGAAUUGA